Paramisgurnus dabryanus is the source of this 1909-nucleotide long non-coding RNA. RefSeq lists it as uncharacterized. The record is from RefSeq and is a predicted model, not a curated record. Lineage: Eukaryota; Metazoa; Chordata; Actinopteri; Cypriniformes; Cobitidae.
CAGAACCACGCGAGACGUCAGGACGAGAUGUUGUCAUUCUGUCUUCUCUUCUGCCCGCAUAGAGAUACGGCGGCUAAAUGCGUUAUUAAAGUUGCUCAUCCAAGCGCCUUCAUGUUUGUUCGUACCAAUUUUAAUGGACGGGAAGCCGACUGACGAACAUCCUUUUCCCGAGAAAUGGUUCGGCUACGAGUCGACACAUGUUAAGAAGUCACGCCAGGGGCUGAAUUAAGGUCGACCGUUUCAGCUGCAUUGAUGUGAAGUGAUGCAGUGGACAACUUGUGAGGGUGAUACCAUCCACAUGCAGCUUAACUGUGAUGCAGAAAUACAAUAGGAUGAUCCAUCUGUCUACACUUCAAAAUCACAAAACAACCCAUAUCUGUUAUGGUAAAACAAUGUGGCGGUUUUCCAGACAGGGCUUAUACUGUUCCCGGGCUAAAAUGCAUGUUUGAGCUACUGUAAUUAAGAAAACACCUUGUACUGACACAUCUCAACAUAUAUCAGUGCCAUUGUUUUGUUUCAAGAUGCACACCAGUCUUGUUUUUGUAAGGUUUGUUUGUAAAAACUAAAAUUUCCUAAUAUAAGUGCCCAGUCCUGGUUUAAUCUAAACCAUUGGUGACCAAACCUGUGCCUUGAGAUCUACUGUCCUGCAGAGUUCAGCUCCAACCCCAAUCAAACACACCUGAACCUGCCAAUCAAGCAUUUCAGGGCAACCUUAAAAUUAUAGUCAGGUGUGUUUGUUAAAGCUGGGUUAGAACUAAAAUAUGCAGGAGGGUAGAUCUCCAGGAACAGGGUGGGUCACCCCUGAUCUAAACAAAGGGUUUCCAAACUGUGUCCUGCUAAGUUUAGCUCUAACCCUAAUCAAACACACCUGAAGCAGCCAAUUAAUGUCCUACUAAGAAUACUAGAAACUUACUGGCAGGUGCUCUGAUGCAAGUUAGAGCUAAACUCUGCAGGACACCGACCCUCCAGGACUGAGUUUGGGCUCCCCUGACUAAGCCCUGUCUGGGAAACUGCACCAAUGUGUUAAGCUGGCACCAUUGGACAUUACUGCUGCUGAGAAACAACCACAUUUCUCAGCUCUACACAGGGUUGACAUUGGAUGAAUUAUUAUUAUAAAAUGCAUUCAUGUGCACUUUACCAAUACUGUACAUACAUCAACAGCUUCCAGCUAUACACUUGGGAUCAGCUCCUGAUGCCUCUCAUAAUGCUGUGUUAUAAUUUAUUGCAGGGUGAUCUUGCUAAAAGGAUAUUUUUAUAAACCUUUACAAUGUCACCAGAUGUUACCUGUUGUGAAUUAUUAUUUUAUAAACCUUUACAAUCUCACUAGUUGUUACAUGUUGUGGAUAGUUAUUUUUAUAAACCUUUACAAUCUCACUAGUUGUUACAUGUUGUGGAUAGUUAUUUUUAUAAACCUUUACAAUGUCACCAGUUGUUACAUGUUGUGCAUAGUUAUUUUUAUACACCUUUACAAUGUUACCUGUUGUGAAUAGUUAUUUGUAUAAACCUUCACAAUAUCACCAGAUGUUACCUGUUGUGAAUAAUUAUUUUAUAAACCUUUACAAUGUCACCAGUUGUUACAUGUUGUGCAUAGUUAUUUUUAUAAACCUUUACAAUGUCACCAGAUGUUACCUGUUGUGAAGGGUUAUUUUUAUACACCUUUACAAUGUUACCUGUUGUGAAUGGUUAUUUUAUACACCUUUACAAUGUUACCUGUUGUGAAUAGUUAUUUUUUAUAAACCUUUACAAUAUCACCAGAUGUUAUCUGUUAGUAGCCAUUUCUUAUAAAACCACGUGAGCUCUGUAGAUUCCUCUUAAAACUUAAAAUGAAUUAAGUUUGCAAGUGAAUUUCAUCUUGGUUUAAUACAUAUUAAACUGUCUGAGGUGCACAUUUACUUAAAAAAAAGACAAA